This 668-nucleotide ribosomal RNA is filed under the name Gloeocapsopsis sp. PUPCCC 008.2. Its description in RNAcentral is "bacterial SSU rRNA". It matches the Rfam family "Bacterial small subunit ribosomal RNA", at positions 98 to 798 of the family's 1533-position model. Lineage: Bacteria; Bacillati; Cyanobacteriota; Cyanophyceae; Chroococcidiopsidales; Chroococcidiopsidaceae. The record is from RNAcentral.
UCGGACGGGUGAGUAACGCGUGAGAAUCUGGCUUAAGGACGGGGAUAACCACUGGAAACGGUGGCUAAGACCCGAUAUGCCGAGAGGUGAAAGUAAUUUAGCCUUGAGGGGAGCUCGCGUCUGAUUAGCUAGUUGGUGGGGUAAGAGCCUACCAAGGCGACGAUCAGUAGCUGGUCUGAGAGGAUGAUCAGCCACACUGGGACUGAGACACGGCCCAGACUCCUACGGGAGGCAGCAGUGGGGAAUUUUCCGCAAUGGGCGAAAGCCUGACGGAGCAAUACCGCGUGGGGGAGGAAGGCUCUUGGGUUGUAAACUCCUUUUCUCAGGGAAGAAAAAAAUGACGGUACCUGAGGAAUCAGCAUCGGCUAACUCCGUGCCAGCAGCCGCGGUAAUACGGAGGAUGCAAGCGUUAUCCGGAAUCAUUGGGCGUAAAGCGUCCGCAGGUGGCAUUUCAAGUCUGCUGUCAAAGGUCGGGGCUUAACUCCGAACAGGCAGUGGAAACUGAGAAGCUAGAGUAUGGUAGGGGCAGAGGGAAUUCCUGGUGUAGCGGUGAAAUGCGUAGAGAUCAGGAAGAACACCGGUGGCGAAAGCGCUCUGCUAGGCCAUAACUGACGCUCAGGGACGAAAGCUAGGGGAGCGAAUGGGAUUAGAUACCCCCAGUAGUCACG